RNAcentral lists this ribosomal RNA (253 nucleotides) under uncultured prokaryote. RNAcentral's name for it is "partial 16S ribosomal RNA". It matches the Rfam family "Bacterial small subunit ribosomal RNA", at positions 525 to 777 of the family's 1533-position model. The record is from RNAcentral.
ACGGAGGGUGCAAGCGUUAUCCGGAUUCACUGGGUUUAAAGGGUGCGUAGGUGGGCGAGUAAGUCAGUGGUGAAAUCUCCGGGCUUAACCCGGAAACUGCCAUUGAUACUAUUCGUCUUGAAUGUUGUGGAGGUAAGCGGAAUAUGUCAUGUAGCGGUGAAAUGCUUAGAUAUGACAUAGAACACCGAUAGCGUAGGCAGCUUACUACACAAAUAUUGACACUGAGGCACGAAAGCGUGGGGAUCAAACAGGA